CGAACGAAGCGCUUGAAUGGAAUUCUUCGGAAGGAAGCUCAAGCGACUGAGUGGCGGACGGGUGAGUAACGCGUGGGUAACCUGCCUCAUACAGGGGGAUAACAGUUAGAAAUGACUGCUAAUACCGCAUAAGCACACGUGAUCGCAUGAUCGAGCGUGAAAAACUCCGGUGGUAUGAGAUGGACCCGCGUCUGAUUAGCUAGUUGGUGGGGUAAUGGCCCACCAAGGCGACGAUCAGUAGCCGGCCUGAGAGGGUGAACGGCCACAUUGGGACUGAGACACGGCCCAAACUCCUACGGGAGGCAGCAGUGGGGAAUAUUGCACAAUGGGGGAAACCCUGAUGCAGCGACGCCGCGUGAAGGAUGAAGUAUUUCGGUAUGUAAACUUCUAUCAGCAGGGAAGAAAAUGACGGUACCUGACUAAGAAGCCCCGGCUAACUACGUGCCAGCAGCCGCGGUAAUACGUAGGGGGCAAGUGUUAUCCGGAUUUACUGGGUGUAAAGGGAGCGUAGACGGCAGUGCAAGUCUGAAGUGAAAGCCCGGGGCUCAACCCCGGGACUGCUUUGGAAACUGUGCAGCUAGAGUGUCGGAGAGGCAAGCGGAAUUCCUAGUGUAGCGGUGAAAUGCGUAGAUACUAGGAGGACACCAGUGGCGAAGGCGGCUUGCUGGACGAUGACUG
Molecule: ribosomal RNA, 678 nt
Filed under: uncultured Lachnospiraceae bacterium
Lineage: Bacteria; Bacillati; Bacillota; Clostridia; Lachnospirales; Lachnospiraceae
Description: bacterial SSU rRNA
Rfam family: Bacterial small subunit ribosomal RNA
Source: RNAcentral